UCCGACUAGUUCCGGGUUCGAAUCCCGGGCAACCCAUAUGGA
RNAcentral lists this transfer RNA (42 nucleotides) under Adelonema picturatum. Lineage: Eukaryota; Viridiplantae; Streptophyta; Magnoliopsida; Alismatales; Araceae. The record is from RNAcentral.